RNAcentral lists this transfer RNA (72 nucleotides) under Heterocephalus glaber (naked mole-rat). It matches the Rfam family "tRNA". From Rfam's summary of the family: Transfer RNA (tRNA) molecules are approximately 80 nucleotides in length. The record is from Rfam by way of RNAcentral. Lineage: Eukaryota; Metazoa; Chordata; Mammalia; Rodentia; Bathyergidae.
GAGGGUGGAGCUCAGUAGUAGAGCACUUGGCUGAUGUGCAAGAAGUUCUGGGUUGGAUCCCUUGCACUGUGA